This 467-nucleotide ribosomal RNA is filed under the name uncultured bacterium. RNAcentral's name for it is "partial 16S ribosomal RNA". It matches the Rfam family "Bacterial small subunit ribosomal RNA", at positions 28 to 507 of the family's 1533-position model. The record is from RNAcentral.
GACGAACGCUGGCGGCGUGCUUAACACAUGCAAGUCGAACGGAAAGGCCUCAGCUUGCUGGGGUACUCGAGUGGCGAACGGGUGAGUAACACGUGGGUGAUCUGCCUUUCACUCUGGGAUAAGCUUGGGAAACUGGGUCUAAUACCGGAUAUGAACUGCCGUUAGUGUGGGGGUGGGAAAGUUUUUUGGGGGCAAGAUGAGCUCGCGGCCCAUCUGCUUUUUGGGGGGGGAAUGGGCUACCAAGGCGUCGGCGGGUGUCCCGGCUGGGAGGGGGUACGGCCACCUUGGGACUGGGAUACGGCCCCGACCGCUAAGGGGAGCCGGCGUGGGGGAUUUUGCCACAUGGGCGGGAGCCUGAUGCAGCGACGCCGCGUGGCGGAUGACGGCCUUUGGGUUGUAAACUCCUUUCGGCCGGGAAGAAGCUUUUUGUGACGGUACCUGUAUAAGAAGCACCGGCUAACUACGUG